RNA transcript from Cornus florida, 5132 nucleotides. It is a transcript of the gene named probable phosphoribosylformylglycinamidine synthase, chloroplastic/mitochondrial, with no coding region annotated. NCBI's taxonomy places the organism in Eukaryota, Viridiplantae, Streptophyta, Magnoliopsida, Cornales, Cornaceae. The transcript is spliced from 6 exons. The record is from RefSeq and is a predicted model, not a curated record.
AUCAUUGGGCCACUUCCUCUAAAUGGAAUAAAGCCUUUAAAGUCAGUCAAAAGUAGAGGGAAAAAUAAAUUAAAAAAUGAAAAAACCAAAAAGUCAGUCAACAGAAUCACCUUAAUAUAUAUAUAUAUAUAUAUAAUCUCACUAGGUUUUUGUCCGCCGGACUGCAACCUAACGACUGCUUCCGCCGACGUAAGUCUCUUUCUCCGGCAAGGUAAAUCCGCCAUCAUUUCCGGCCAAAGUUUGAAUAUGGUUUGUUACAGUUCGAGUAUGGCUUCUGCUUGGGAAAUGACUGCAGUGGAGUUCUUACAAGGGUCUAAUAGACAGAAUUUAUUUCCGCCAAGGACUUCACCAAGCUGGAGUAAACGUUUGCUAUGGGGUUCACUCCAAAAUCGAACCCCAUUACUGAGAAUUUCUAAUGGAGGUGGUAUUGUAUCAAGGCCUUCACUUUCAAGAAAGGUCAGGGCUGUUGUUACAGGGGAUGUAAGCAGUUCAAUCGAUGAAUCGAGUAAGUCUGAAGCUUAUGCUGAAAAGGUUAUACAUUUUUACCGGAUUCCGUUGAUUCAAGAUAGUGCAGCUGCUGAACUGUUGAAGUCGAUUCAGACGAAAAUUUCAAGUCAGAUAGUUGGUCUAGAAACUGAACAGUGUUUCAAUAUUGGGCUCGAUUCGAGGCUUUCGGAAGAAAAACUUUCAGUGCUUAAGUGGCUUCUAGGAGAAACAUUUCAGCCUGAUAAUUUGGGGUCUGAGAGUUUCCUUGACAAGGAGAACAAUGGUGGUUUGGAUGAACUGGUAAUUGAAGUUGGCCCUCGGUUGUCUUUUACCACAGCAUGGUCUGCUAAUGCUGUAUCAAUCUGCCGGGCAUGUGGAUUGACAGAGGUGACCCGAUUGGAACGUUCUAGGAGGUACUUGUUGUAUAUUAAGGCAGGGAGUGGUUCGUUGCCAUAUGACCAAAUUAAUGAAUUUGCUGCUAUGGUUCAUGAUCGGAUGACCGAGUGUGUGUAUGACCAGAAGCUCACAUCCUUUGAAGUAAGUGUAGUUCCAGAUGAAGUUCGGUAUGUACCAGUCAUGGAGAGGGGCAGGAAGGCAUUGGAGGAAAUUAAUGACGAAAUGGGCUUGGCCUUUGAUGAACAAGACAUACAGUAUUACACUAGGCUUUUCAAGGAUGACAUAAAGCGGAACCCAACAACUGUUGAACUGUUUGAUAUUGCACAGUCUAAUAGUGAGCACAGCCGUCACUGGUUUUUUACGGGGAAAAUUGUUAUAGAUGGUAAGCCCAUGAAUAGGACUCUAAUGCAGAUAGUGAAGAGCACCUUGCAGGCAAACCCCAACAAUUCAGUCAUUGGCUUCAAGGACAACUCAAGUGCAAUCAAGGGAUUUCGUGUGAAGCCUUUGCGGCCAAUUCAGCCUGGUUCAACUUGUCUGUUAGACACCAGUGUUCAUGAUCUUGACAUCUUAUUUACGGCUGAGACCCACAAUUUCCCAUGUGCGGUUGCACCUUAUCCUGGUGCUGAGACAGGUGCAGGAGGUCGUAUCAGGGAUACCCAUGCAACUGGAAGGGGGUCUUUUGUUGUUGCAGCUACAGCUGGUUACUGUGUUGGGAAUCUUAACAUAGAAGGGUCUUCUGCUCCAUGGGAAGAUUCGUCAUUCACAUAUCCAUCAAACUUGGCUUCUCCUCUGCAGAUCCUCAUUGACGCUAGCAAUGGUGCAUCAGACUAUGGGAACAAAUUUGGGGAACCCUUGAUUCAGGGCUACACGAGAACUUUUGGAAUGAGACUCCCUAGUGGAGAAAGGCGGGAAUGGUUGAAGCCAAUCAUGUUCAGUGGUGGUAUUGGGCAGAUUGAACACACCCACAUAUCAAAAGGAGAGCCUGACAUUGGAAUGCUAGUUGUAAAGAUUGGAGGCCCAGCUUAUCGUAUAGGAAUGGGAGGUGGGGCUGCAUCCAGCAUGGUUAGUGGUCAGAAUGCUGCUGAUCUUGAUUUUAAUGCCGUUCAGCGAGGAGAUGCAGAGAUGGCACAGAAAUUGUAUCGUGUGGUUCGUGCCUGCAUUGAAAUGGGAGAGAACAACCCAAUUAUCAGCAUUCAUGAUCAGGGUGCUGGUGGGAACUGUAAUGUUGUAAAGGAAAUCAUAUACCCCAAGGGUGCUGAAAUUGAUAUUAGGGCAGUUGUAGUUGGCGAUCACACUAUGUCUGUCUUGGAGAUAUGGGGUGCAGAAUAUCAGGAACAAGAUGCCAUAUUGGUGAAGCCUGAAAGCCGCAGCCUCUUAGAGUCAGUUUGUGAAAGAGAAAGGGUCUCUAUGGCCGUUCUUGGAACAAUUAAUGGCAAGGGACAUGUUACUUUAGUUGACAGCAUAGCUAUUGAAAGGUGUCGUUCAGAUGGACUCCCUCCCCCACCACCUGCUGUGGAUCUCGAGCUUGAGAAAGUCCUCGGGGACAUGCCUCAAAAAACUUUUGAAUUUUAUCACAUGGCUCAUGCGCUAGAGCCACUGGAUAUUGCUCCUGGGAUCACAUUGAUGCAUUCUCUGAAGAGGGUCUUGGGGCUUCCUUCUGUCGGUUCGAAACGCUUUUUGACGACUAAAGUUGAUAGAUGUGUAACAGGUCUUGUGGCACAGCAACAAACUGUGGGUCCUUUGCAAAUUACUCUUUCUGAUGUUGCAGUUAUUGCACAAACCUAUGCUGACUUUACUGGGGGUGCAUGCGCAAUUGGGGAGCAACCAAUCAAGGGUCUUUUGAAUCCAAAAGCAAUGGCACGACUAGCUGUUGGAGAAGCACUCACAAAUCUUGUUUGGGCGAAAGUUACUUCUCUUUCUGAUGUUAAAGCCAGUGGCAAUUGGAUGUAUGCUGCCAAACUUGAUGGGGAGGGAGCAGCCAUGUAUGAUGCUGCUAUGGCUCUUUCUGAAGCUAUGAUUGAGCUUGGUAUUGCUAUUGAUGGGGGGAAAGAUAGUCUUUCAAUGGCGGCCCAUGCAUCAGGGGAGGUUGUCAAGGCUCCAGGAAAUCUUGUUAUCAGUGUGUAUGUCACUUGUCCUGAUAUAACCAAAACUGUGACCCCAGAUUUGAAGCUUGGAGAUGAAGGUAUUUUGCUUCACAUUGAUUUGGCGAAAGGAGAGCGGCGUCUUGGUGGAUCUGCUCUUGCUCAGGUUUUUGACCAAAUUGGAGAUGAAUGCCCUGAUCUUGAUGAUGUUCCUUACCUUAAAAGAGUGUUUGAGGGGGUUCAGAAUCUUCUCUCAGAUGGGCUGGUCUCUGCUGGUCAUGAUAUCAGUGACGGCGGGCUGAUUGUUUGUGCCCUGGAGAUGGCUUUCGCUGGUAAUUGUGGCAUCUGCUUGGACUUAGCUUCAUUAGGGAAGAACCUCUUCCAAACACUUUUUGCAGAAGAGCUUGGUCUUAUUCUUGAGGUUAGCAAGAAUAACCUGGCUAUGGUUAUGGGAAAGCUUCACAGUGUCGGCAUACCUGCUGAGAUCAUUGGAGAAGUAACUGCUGCACCAAUAAUAGAAUUAAAAGUUGAUGGGGUGACUCAUUUCAGUGAGAAAACUUCUCACCUUAGGGACAUGUGGGAAGAAACCAGUUUUCAGCUGGAAAAGUUUCAAAGAUUGGCUUCUUGUGUGGAUUUAGAAAAGGAAGGGUUGAAAAAUAGGCAAGAACCUUCAUGGGCAUUGUCUUUCACUCCGACCUCUACGGAUGAGAAAUACAUGGCCACUACUUCAAAACCAAAAGUAGCCGUUAUUCGAGAGGAAGGAAGCAAUGGGGACAGAGAAAUGUCUGCUGCUUUUUAUGCUGCUGGUUUUGAACCAUGGGAUGUAACAAUGUCAGACCUUCUUAAUGGAGUCACAUCUCUGCAUGAAUUCCGUGGGAUUGUGUUUGUGGGAGGUUUUAGCUAUGCUGAUGUGCUUGAUUCUGCAAAAGGGUGGUCAGCUUCUAUACGAUUCAAUCAGCCUCUUCUAAAUCAGUUUCAAGAAUUUUACAAACGGUCUGAUACCUUUAGUCUUGGGGUUUGCAAUGGAUGCCAGCUUAUGGCUCUAUUGGGGUGGGUUCCUGGCCCCCAAGUUGGAGGCGUCCUUGGUGUUGGUGGGGAUCCAUCACAGCCAAGGUUUGUCCACAAUGAGUCAGGACGUUUUGAAUGUCGUUUCACAAGUGUGACAAUAAAGGACUCCCCAGCUCUAAUGUUCAAAGGAAUGGCUGGUAGUACCUUGGGUGUGUGGGCUGCCCAUGGUGAGGGGAGAGCAUAUUUCCCUGAUGAUGAUAUUUUGGAUCGUAUGCUUGAGUCAAAUUUGGCCCCAGUAAGAUAUUGUGAUGAUAAUGGGAAACCAACUGAAGUAUACCCGUUCAAUCUGAAUGGUUCUCCCUUGGGUGUGGCAGCCAUUUGUUCUCCAGAUGGGAGGCAUCUUGCCAUGAUGCCUCAUCCAGAACGCUGCUUCUUGAUGUGGCAGUUCCCCUGGUAUCCGAAGCAUUGGAGUGUGGAUAGGAAAGGCCCUAGCCCAUGGUUGCAGAUGUUUCAAAAUGCUAGAGAGUGGUGCUCUUGAGCAAUGUUAGUUUUAACUGCCUCAAAUUCUUGCCUUUUUUUUUUUUUUUUGAAGUCCAGUAACUGGAGAGGUAUUAUUUUAUUUUGUCACUUAGGAGGCUUUAAAGCUUUUGGAGGUCAAGAUAUCGAUUCAGUUGUGCGAUUCUAUCUUUAUGGUGACAUCAAUGGCUCAUAAAGGUUUUGGAGGUCAGGCCAUGGAUUUGUUUCUUAAUUUAUUUGCAGAGAAUACAGACAGAACUUGAAUGGGAAGCCCAGAUGUUUUUGUCCCCCUCUCUUUUAAACUUCUGUGUUGCUCCCUUUACCACCUUUAUGUUCUUCCCUUUCAUACCUAAAUCCGUUGUAUACAACUUUUAAUAUUUCUAAUACAGAAAUAGCGUAUUUAAGGCCAUGUUCUUUGAUAGUUUGUAUGAAGGCGUUUGUUAUGAGGAUAUCAAUGUUACCAUCCAAUCCAAUCCACAAUUGAGUAAAAUUCUGCCAGAGGAAGCAUAUAUGAAUUGUUGAUAGUUCAUUACCUUGCUGAAGUGUAGUACUGUUUUUUUACACAGUCGAUUGAAAAAUGAUAAUUUAUAUGUAGAAUGAUAAUGACGAACUGAGAAUUUACUGUACAUUGAAAUUACCUCACUG